This 1983-nucleotide long non-coding RNA is filed under the name Pandoravirus neocaledonia. RNAcentral's name for it is "hypothetical ncRNA". The record is from RNAcentral.
GGGCAUGCAGCAACAACAACAGCAACAGCAAAAAAACGAGUGUGACAGUGAUCGUCUAGGGCAGGUCAUCAACGACGAUUCGAUAGCGCAUGCAACGUCGUCGUGCGGCGGGGAUAUCGAGCGUGUGGAUUGCCCAGCGCCGCUGAGCCGUAACGAGCGCCUCGGCCGUCUCAAUCAAAAAGAGACCACCGGUCGCACACUCGUGAUAGACGUGCACGUCCCGAGCGCGGUCGUCGCGAUGCCUCUUAAAGGUACCGUACAGGAGGCGCGCCAUCCGAUAGAGCCAUAAUAGGUCGACGUCGAGCGGCGGCACCGUCGCGAUGGUCACGUCGGCAACAUCGCCGUCGUCCUUUAUAACAAACUUGAUACAUUGCGCCCAUAGGAUGCGCCUCCAGCGGCGCGAUGGCCUUAUAGGGGUGUCAAAAAGGCAUGGCGGCGCGUCGUGGAUGGCUGAUGUCGAAGGCGACGUUGUCGGUGUCGAUGAUGCCGAGCGCGAUGACCUCGAUGAUGACACGGAUGAUCGGCACGAUGAUAUAGGUGAUGUGGGCGAUAUGGGUGGUGAUGACGAUGCCGAGGAUGGACUAGACGAGAGAGGACACGCGUGUGCACGGCGCGCAUGAACAGACGGCGAAAGGGACGAGACGGACCCGUGAGACCACGUUGUCCCCGGCGCGCGCAACAACUCCAAGGGCGACGCCAGAGGUGACGGCCCGAGAAUCGAUGACGGAGACGGCGGAGGCGAUGAUGCAGGCGGUGAGAUGGUCGAUGUUGUAGAUGAUGACGACGAUAGAGAGACGGAUGAAAAAGACAGGGAUGACGACAGCGAGAGUGACGACGACAGAGUCUCACGCGAUGAUGUGCUCCGAAGCGAGCGCGCCGAGGUCAACGGCGACGUGCGCUGCGGGAUCGAUUCGCCGUCGUCAUCCCUGCGGUCGGUGCGGUGGGACCUGGCCCACGAGGCCAAGUUGCGCCACACCGACCGCGGGGAGCGGGCAACCGAUGACGUCGACGACCGGUUGGUGGCGCGUUGACUAGACGUCGGCGACGGUUUGGUGUCGGUGUCCUCCUCGCCGGUCGACAGGCGGACUUGCGUGCUGGCUGGAUAGAACGCGCGGUGCCAAAAGCGUCGCCUGAUCGCUGCUGUCCCGUUUGUGUCGCGUUUGGCGGCGCGCGCGCAAAGUGCCUUGAUGGCGUUUUUUGUGUGACGGAGCAAAAGGUCGCGUCCCCAAUCGGAGCGAGAAAAGGCUGCUUGCCUGCCUCGCGCAAAAAAGCGCCCAAGCCAAGGAAAAAAAAUCGAAAAAAGGCAAACAAACACAACGGGCCGUGGGGUCCUCGGCGCGUCGCAAUGACCGGAAAAAAAGGGCUAUAGAAAAAAAAGGUGACGGCAAAAGGAGAAGCGGCGAUGCAAGCACACAGGGAGGAAAGCAGGUCGGUAAAAAAAAGAGUGUGUGCUCUUGCUAGGUUACGCGCCUAAAAGAGGCGUCCGUGCCUCGUGUGUAUGUGCGAGAAGAAGCCGAGAGGGACAAGAGGUCGUAUCAAGUGCCAAAACAACACCAACACAACUCGCCAAGCUGAACUUGACCGAGGCGGCGGCGGCCGACGGGUACAUGAUGUCGCGGUCCAAUCAAGGCGGGGCAAAUAGGGCACUGCGGCAGCGCGUUGACCGGUGGCCUUUGUUGCCGCGGAAAAAGGAGACGGCGCCGGCGGUGGGCGCUUUCGUGUCGCCACACCAUCGCGGUUUAGCAUCUGCACGCAGCAAACACGCAACGGUGGACUCGUGACCGAAGACGCACGCAGCAAACACGCAACGGUGGACUCGUGACCGAAGACGCACGCGGCAUACGCGCGCGCUCAUUUUCAUUUUUUUUUCGCACCAUUUUUCUCUACACUAAAACGCCCCGUCGGUGGUAUCCCCUUUUUUUUAUUGGCGAGCAGGCGCCGACCGCCAAGAGGCGAAAAAUAGAGAGAACGGCCAGAGCGACG